UUUCGGAGAGUUUGAUCCUGGCUCAGGACGAACGCUGGCGGCGUGCCUAAUACAUGCAAGUCGAGCGGAUUGAUGGGAGCUUGCUCCCUGAAAUCAGCGGCGGACGGGUGAGUAACACGUGGGUAACCUGCCUGUAAGACUGGGAUAACUCCGGGAAACCGGGGCUAAUACCGGAUAGUUCUUUUCCUCGCAUGAGGAAAAGUGGAAAGGCGGCUUCGGCUGCCACUUACAGAUGGACCCGCGGCGCAUUAGCUAGUUGGUGAGGUAACGGCUCACCAAGGCAACGAUGCGUAGCCGACCUGAGAGGGUGAUCGGCCACACUGGGACUGAGACACGGCCCAGACUCCUACGGGAGGCAGCAGUAGGGAAUCUUCCGCAAUGGACGAAAGUCUGACGGAGCAACGCCGCGUGAGUGAUGAAGGUUUUCGGAUCGUAAAGCUCUGUUGUUAGGG
This 452-nucleotide ribosomal RNA is filed under the name Rossellomorea vietnamensis. RNAcentral describes it as "bacterial SSU rRNA". It matches the Rfam family "Bacterial small subunit ribosomal RNA", at positions 1 to 444 of the family's 1533-position model. Lineage: Bacteria; Bacillati; Bacillota; Bacilli; Caryophanales; Bacillaceae. The record is from RNAcentral.